RNAcentral lists this ribosomal RNA (450 nucleotides) under uncultured bacterium. RNAcentral describes it as "partial 16S ribosomal RNA". It matches the Rfam family "Bacterial small subunit ribosomal RNA", at positions 354 to 796 of the family's 1533-position model. The record is from RNAcentral.
GUGGGGAAUCUUCCGCAAUGGACGAAAGUCUGACGGAGCAACGCCGCGUGAGUGAAGAAGGUUUUCGGAUCGUAAAGCUCUUUCGUUAGGGACGAACGUGCUCUUUGUGAAUAAUGAGGAGUAAUGACGGUACCUAAAUAAGAAGCCACGGCUAACUACGUGCCAGCAGCCGCGGUAAUACGUAGGUGGCAAGCGUUGUCCGGAAUUAUUGGGCGUAAAGCGCGCGCAGGCGGGAUAUCAAGUCUGUCUUAAAAGUGCGAGGCUCAACCUCGUGAGGGGACAGAAACUGGUAUUCUUGAGUGUCGGAGAGGAAAGUGGAAUUCCAAGUGUAGCGGUGAAAUGCGUAGAGAUUUGGAAGAACACCAGUGGCGAAGGCGACUUUCUGGACGAUGUCUGACGCUGAGGCGCGAAAGCCAGGGGAGCGAACGGGAUUAGAUACCCUAGUAGUCC